RNAcentral lists this transfer RNA (74 nucleotides) under Salmonella enterica subsp. enterica. RNAcentral describes it as "tRNA-Arg". It matches the Rfam family "tRNA". Rfam says of the family: Transfer RNA (tRNA) molecules are approximately 80 nucleotides in length. Their secondary structure includes four short double-helical elements and three loops (D, anti-codon, and T loops). Further hydrogen bonds mediate the characteristic L-shaped molecular structure. tRNAs have two regions of fundamental functional importance: the anti-codon, which is responsible for specific mRNA codon recognition, and the 3' end, to which the tRNAs corresponding amino acid is attached (by aminoacyl-tRNA synthetases). tRNAs cope with the degeneracy of the genetic code in two manners: having more than one tRNA (with a specific anti-codon) for a particular amino acid; and 'wobble' base-pairing, i.e. permitting non-standard base-pairing at the 3rd anti-codon position. Lineage: Bacteria; Pseudomonadati; Pseudomonadota; Gammaproteobacteria; Enterobacterales; Enterobacteriaceae. The record is from RNAcentral.
GCACCAUUGGCUCAACUGGAUAGAGCACCUGACUUCGGAUCAGGGGGAUGAGGGUUCGAAUCCUUCAUGGUGCG